Molecule: transfer RNA, 73 nt
Filed under: Paramuricea clavata
Lineage: Eukaryota; Metazoa; Cnidaria; Anthozoa; Malacalcyonacea; Plexauridae
Rfam family: tRNA
About the family: Transfer RNA (tRNA) molecules are approximately 80 nucleotides in length.
Source: Rfam by way of RNAcentral
GACCGCGUAGCUCAGUUGGCAGAGCAUUGGUCUAGUAUUCCUAAGGUCGUAGGUUCGAUUCCCACUGUGGUCA